CACAUACCCUGAACUGAUUGAGAUUAUAUCCAAGUUGAAGGAUGGAACUGGAAAGCUAGCGGGCAUCGAUACCUCUAAUCUUUUGAUUGCCAAUUCUGGAAAUGAUUUGCCAGUUAUUGAUCUUACAAGUGUUUCACAAGAGCUAGCUUAUUUAUCUAGUGAUGCAGACCUCGUUGUAUUGGAAGGAAUGGGUCGUGCGAUAGAGACUAAUCUUUAUGCUCAGUUUAAGUGUGAUUCUCUCAAGAUUGGAAUGGUGAAACAUCCAGAGGUUGCUCAGUUUCUUGGAGGACGGGAGGACGGCUUUAUGAUUGCGUUUUCAAGUACAAUGAAGUUUUGAGUUAAUAAUUCUAUUUUUAUGUGUACUUUUAACCCAUUUGUUCGAAGCCAAUUAUUCAAUUUACAUAUACUUUAGGUCUUUAUCACCUAGAAUCUACAUCUGUGAACUCCAAAAGUCUUUCCUUCAAUUAAUAAAGGAGCACAAAAACUG
Molecule: unclassified non-coding RNA, 487 nt
Filed under: Hevea brasiliensis (rubber tree)
Lineage: Eukaryota; Viridiplantae; Streptophyta; Magnoliopsida; Malpighiales; Euphorbiaceae
Source: RNAcentral